Molecule: ribosomal RNA, 551 nt
Filed under: Streptomyces sp. 303E05
Lineage: Bacteria; Bacillati; Actinomycetota; Actinomycetes; Kitasatosporales; Streptomycetaceae
Description: bacterial SSU rRNA
Rfam family: Bacterial small subunit ribosomal RNA
Source: RNAcentral
UAGUGGCGAACGGGUGAGUAACACGUGGGCAAUCUGCCCUUCACUCUGGGACAAGCCCUGGAAACGGGGUCUAAUACCGGAUAACACCUGCCCGGGCAUCCGGGUGGGUUAAAAGCUCCGGCGGUGAAGGAUGAGCCCGCGGCCUAUCAGCUUGUUGGUGAGGUAGUGGCUCACCAAGGCGACGACGGGUAGCCGGCCUGAGAGGGCGACCGGCCACACUGGGACUGAGACACGGCCCAGACUCCUACGGGAGGCAGCAGUGGGGAAUAUUGCACAAUGGGCGAAAGCCUGAUGCAGCGACGCCGCGUGAGGGAUGACGGCCUUCGGGUUGUAAACCUCUUUCAGCAGGGAAGAAGCGAAAGUGACGGUACCUGCAGAAGAAGCGCCGGCUAACUACGUGCCAGCAGCCGCGGUAAUACGUAGGGCGCAAGCGUUGUCCGGAAUUAUUGGGCGUAAAGAGCUCGUAGGCGGCUUGUCACGUCGGGUGUGAAAGCCCGGGGCUUAACCCCGGGUCUGCAUUCGAUACGGGCUAGCUAGAGUGUGGUAGGGGA